GGCCCCUUAGCUCAGCCGGAUAGAGCGACAGAUUCCUAAUCUGUAGGUCGCAGGUUCGAGUCCUGCAGGGGUCGCCA
This 77-nucleotide transfer RNA is filed under the name Rhizobiales bacterium NRL2. Its description in RNAcentral is "tRNA-Arg". It matches the Rfam family "tRNA". From Rfam's summary of the family: Transfer RNA (tRNA) molecules are approximately 80 nucleotides in length. Their secondary structure includes four short double-helical elements and three loops (D, anti-codon, and T loops). Further hydrogen bonds mediate the characteristic L-shaped molecular structure. tRNAs have two regions of fundamental functional importance: the anti-codon, which is responsible for specific mRNA codon recognition, and the 3' end, to which the tRNAs corresponding amino acid is attached (by aminoacyl-tRNA synthetases). tRNAs cope with the degeneracy of the genetic code in two manners: having more than one tRNA (with a specific anti-codon) for a particular amino acid; and 'wobble' base-pairing, i.e. permitting non-standard base-pairing at the 3rd anti-codon position. RNAcentral also lists the same sequence under 2 other names. Lineage: Bacteria; Pseudomonadati; Pseudomonadota; Alphaproteobacteria; Hyphomicrobiales. The record is from RNAcentral.